RNAcentral lists this ribosomal RNA (434 nucleotides) under uncultured bacterium. Its description in RNAcentral is "bacterial SSU rRNA". It matches the Rfam family "Bacterial small subunit ribosomal RNA", at positions 29 to 507 of the family's 1533-position model. The record is from RNAcentral.
AACGAACGCUGGCGGCAGGCCUAACACAUGCAAGUCGAGCGGACCCUUCGGGGUUAGCGGCGGACGGGUUAGUAACGCGUGGGAACGUGCCCAAAGGUACGGAAUAGCCUCGGGAAACUGAGAGUAAUACCGUAUGUGCCCCUCGGGGGAAAGAUUUAUCGCCUUUGGAUCGGCCCGCGUUGGAUUAGGUAGUUGGUGGGGUAAUGGCCUACCAAGCCGACGAUCCAUAGCUGGUUUGAGAGGAUGAUCAGCAACACUGGGACUGAGACACGGCCCAGACUCCUACGGGAGGCAGCAGUGGGGAAUCUUAGACAAUGGGGGAAACCCUGAUCUAGCCAUGCCGCGUGGACGAUGAAGGCCUUAGGGUUGUAAAGUCCUUUCAGCUGGGGAAGAUAAUGACGGUACCAGCAGAAGAAGCCCCGGCUAACUCCGUG